RNAcentral lists this ribosomal RNA (578 nucleotides) under Moesziomyces sp. Its description in RNAcentral is "LSU rRNA". It matches the Rfam family "Eukaryotic large subunit ribosomal RNA", at positions 62 to 616 of the family's 3401-position model. The record is from RNAcentral. Lineage: Eukaryota; Fungi; Basidiomycota; Ustilaginomycetes; Ustilaginales; Ustilaginaceae.
AAACUAACAAGGAUUCCCCUGGUAGCGGCGAGUGAAGAGGGAAGAGCCCAAGAUUGAAAGCUGGCGUCUUCGGCGUCCGCAUUGUAAUCUCAAGAAGUGUUUUCCGCUUCGGACCAAGCCUAAGUCCCUUGGAAAAGGGCAUCAUAGAGGGUGAUAAUCCCGUACAUGGCUUGGAGCGCCCGAGGCUUUGUGAUACGCUUUCUAAGAGUCGAGUUGUUUGGGAAUGCAGCUCAAAAUGGGUGGUAAAUGCCAUCUAAGGCUAAAUAUUGGGGAGAGACCGAUAGCGAACAAGUACAGUGAUGGAAAGAUGAAAAGAACUUUGAAAAGAGAGUUAAACAGUACGUGAAAUUGCCAAAAGGGAAGGGUAGGAGGUCAGAGAUGCGGCCUGGGAUUCAGCCUUGCUUUUGCUUGGUGUUUUUCCCAGAUUGCAGGCCAACGUCGGUUUUGGGCACUGGAGAAGGGUAGGAGGAACGUGGCACCCCUCGGGGUGUGUUAUAGCCUCCUACUGGAUACAGCGACCGAGACCGAGGAAAGCAGCGUACUCGUAAGAGCGGGCCCUCGGGUACCUUUACGCUUAG